RNAcentral lists this microRNA precursor (123 nucleotides) under Drosophila willistoni. Its description in RNAcentral is "mir-989 microRNA precursor family". It matches the Rfam family "mir-989 microRNA precursor family". Lineage: Eukaryota; Metazoa; Arthropoda; Insecta; Diptera; Drosophilidae. The record is from Rfam by way of RNAcentral.
GUUUUGGGAAUUGGCCACUACCUCGCAGUCACGUGAUGAGAGAGAUGCAAGAGGACUUUGUAUGCCAUUUGCAUUUAAUAUUUCAUAGUUCAUGUGAUGUGACGUAGUGGAACAUUCCUGAGC